GGCUCGGUAGCUUGGUUGGUAAAGCACUUGUCUAGCGAAUAAGGGUCGUUAGUUCAAAUCUCACCUGAGGUG
This is a non-coding RNA of Aedes albopictus (Asian tiger mosquito), 72 nucleotides long. The record is from Rfam. NCBI's taxonomy places the organism in Eukaryota, Metazoa, Arthropoda, Insecta, Diptera, Culicidae.